UACAGAGGGGGCAAGCGUUGUUCGGAAUUACUGGGCGUAAAGGGCGCGUAGGCGGCCUGCUAAGUCGAACGUGAAAUCCCCGGGCUCAACCCGGGAACUGCGUCCGAUACUGGCAGGCUUGAAUUCGGGAGAGGGAUGCGGAGUUCCAGGUGUAGCGGUGAAAUGCGUAGAUAUCUGGAGGAACACCGGUGGCGAAGGCGGCAUCCUGGACCGAAAUUGACGCUGAGGCGCGAAAGCCAGGGGAGCAAACGGG
RNAcentral lists this ribosomal RNA (253 nucleotides) under uncultured bacterium. RNAcentral describes it as "partial 16S ribosomal RNA". It matches the Rfam family "Bacterial small subunit ribosomal RNA", at positions 524 to 776 of the family's 1533-position model. The record is from RNAcentral.